RNAcentral lists this transfer RNA (72 nucleotides) under Marmota monax (woodchuck). RNAcentral describes it as "tRNA.Ala". The record is from RNAcentral. Lineage: Eukaryota; Metazoa; Chordata; Mammalia; Rodentia; Sciuridae.
GAGUUGUAGCUCAGUGGUAGAGUGCAGGCCUUGCAUGUGUGAGGCACUGGGUUUGAUCCUUAGUACCAUGCA